GUCCAUUUUCUCCAAGCCUUAUUUCCUUGUUCAUCUCUGUUCAUACCUAGUUUUGUAUCAUAAUGUGCCUUGGAAUAAUUGGUUACAGUAAUCAAAUUCAACAUAUCACAACAGCUGGAGUGUAGCGUUUCAAUAAACCGCUCGACCAUAUUCCUGUUAAACUUCAAGGUGACAAAUUUAACCAUUACAUCAGUGUUGUUGACAACAAACCACAGAUGCCAUUAGCUUGUUAGUGACUGGAGUGCACACAGCAGGGCCUUCUCUCUUGACCUUCGGAGCAAACCCUCCCUAUCAUAGACUCAAUGGACUCUAAAAAGAUGAAAUUAUUUUCACCACCUGUAGGAUGACCCCAUAUUCUAUGAUAACAGAAAAGAACAUUUGUAUUUUAUUUUUACUCGAAGGCCAGUCGGACAUCACUGCUCGCUGUCCAUGAGUUUACAAACAAAACCCAGAGGCAUAUUAUACACAGUGCCUUGGGAAGUAUUCAGACCCCUUGACCUUUUCCACAUUUUUGUUACGUUACAGCCUUAUUCUAAAAAUGGAUUAAAUAAAUAAAACAUCCUCAGCAAUCUACACACAAUACCCCAUAAUGACAAAGCGAAAACAAGAUUUUUGACAUUUGUAAAAAACAGAAAUUCCUUAUUUACAUAAGUAUUCAGACCCUUUGCUAUGAGACUCGAAAUUGAGCUCCGAUGCAUCCUGUUUCCAUUGGUCAUCCUUUUAGAUGUUUCUACAACUUGAUUAGAGUCCACCUGUGGUAAAUUCAAUUGAAUGGACAUGAUUUGGAAAGGCACACACCUGUCUAUAUAAAGGUCCCACAGAUGACAGGGCAUGUCAGAGCAAAAAACAAGUCAUGUGGUUGAAGGAAUUGUCCGUAGAGCUCAGAGAUAGGAUUGUGUCAAGGCACAGAUUUUGGGAAGGGUACCAAAAAAAUUCUGCGACAUUGAAGAUCCCCAAGAACACAGUGGCCUGCAUCAUUCUUUAAUGGAAGAAGUUUGGAACCACCAAGACCCUUCCUAGAGCUGGCCGCCCGGCCACACAGCAAUCGGGAGAGAAGGGCCUUGGUCAGGGAGGUGAACAACAACCCGAUGGUCACUCUGACAGACUCUAGAGUUCCUGUAGAGUUGGGAGAACCUUCCAGAAGGACAACCAUCUCUGCAGUACUCCACCAAUCAGGCCUUUAUGGUAGAGUGGCCAGAUGGAAGCCACUCCUCAGGAAAAGACACGACAGCCAACUUGGAGUUUGCCAAAAGGCAUCUAAAGACUCUCAGACCAUGAGAAACAAGAUUUCUUUAGUCUGAUGAAACCAAUAUUGAACACUUUGGCCUGAAUGUCAAGCGUCCCGUCUGGUGGAAACCUGGCACCAUCCAUUUGGUGAAGCAUGGUGGUGGCAGCAUCAUGCUGUGGGGAUGUUUUUCAGUGGCAGGGACUGGGAGACUAGUCAGGAUCGAGGCAAAGAUGAACAGAGCAAAGUACAGAGAGAUCCUUGAUGAAAACCUUCUCUAGAGCAUUCAGGACCUCAGACUGGGGCAAAGGUUCACCUUCCAACAGGACAAUCAUCCUAAGCACACAGACAAGACAACGCUUCAGGACAAAUCUCUGAAUGUCCUUGAGUGGCCCAGCCAGAACCUGGACUUGAACCUGACCGAACAUUUCAGGAGAGACCUGAAAAUAGCUGUGCAGCAACGCUUCCAAUCCAACCUGAAAGAGCUUGAAAGGAUCUGCAGAGAAGAAUAGGAAAAACUCCCCAAAUACAGUCGUGCCAAGCUUGUAGCGUCAUACCCAAGAAGACUUGAUGCUUUUUGACCUGAUGCUGCCAAAGGUGCUUCAACAAAGUCCUGAGUAAAGGGUCUGAAUACUUAUGCAAAUUUGAUAUCCAUUUUCAAUUGUUAAUAAAUUAGCAAAAAAAUCCUAAAAACCUGUUUUGCUUUGUGAUUAUGGGGUAUUAUGUGUAGAUUGAUGAGGGAAAAAACUAUUUCAUACAUUUUUUGAAUAAAGCUGUAAAGUAACAAAUUGUGACCAGAGUCAGCACUGUUGACACCAGAUAGGUACUGUAGAUACCAGAUAGUCAGAUAGGCACUGUUGACACCAGAUAGUCACUGUUGACACCAGAUAGUCACUGUUGACACCAUAUAGGUACUGUAGACACCAGAUAGGUACUGUAGACACCAGAUAGGUACUGUAGACACCAGAUAGGUACUGUAGACACCAGAUAGGUACUGUAGACACCAGAUAGUCAGAUAGGUACUGUAGACACCAGAUAGGUACUGUAGACACCAGAUAGUCAGAAAGGUACUAUAGACACCAGAUAGUCAGAUAGGUACUGUAGUCUCACACGCUUGCAGACACUUUCGACGUUGAGGGAUUUUUAUAAUUUACGAUGAGGCUUACUAGUGUAAUAAGCCUUUUGUGAAAUGUUUCAUUUUCAUGGUUUAGGACCAACUAAAAGGGUAAGAACUAGAUCAAAGAAUUGUCUCAACAAUUUCUUAUAUUUAUUUCCCCCUUUUCAUUACAGGCAGAUAAGAGAAUACGACAUGCCACUGAACACAUAAUGAAAAUAGACGAGGAAGUUCAAUUCCCAAUUACUGUCAUACUGUGAGCUGUUGACAAAAAAGGGAAACAGGAAUGAUACAUUAGGAAAUAUAUCAUAUUUAUUCAUUUUUCCUACAUCAUACCCUGACUCACAUACAAUAUACCAGUCACAUGAAGCAAGCACUUAAAUCACCCAUGUGCUCGGGCAGGCUGGAACGCUCAGUGCAUAAAUAUCAUUGGUACACAAAUAAGCCCAGCCAAGGUUUCCCAAACCUAGUCUGAGACCCGGUGUUUAUCAAACCCACAUGAAACUGGUCAGUGGAAAUGGAGUGGUCCUACGACAUCACCUCAAUGAGCACAUCCAGUUCCAGACAAGUCCUUCCCGACAACAAGGUUGGAUUUUCACAAUAUUUACUCCAGCUGGAGUGAAAUGCUGCAUACGCAAUGAGCUUCCCAGACCAGGACCGAAAGAAAACUGUCCCAUCCCCUUCCCAGACCAGGACUGAAAAAAACUGGCCCAUCCCCUUCCCAGACCAGGACUGAAAAAAACUGUCCCAUCCCCUUCCCAGACCAGGACUGAAAAAAACUGUCCCAUCCCCUUCCCAGACCAGGACUGAAAGAAAACUGGUCCAUCCCCUUCCCAGACCAGGACUGAAAGAAAACUGGUCCAUCCCCUUCCCAGACCAGGACUGAAAAAAAACUGUCCCAUCCCCUUCCCAGACCAGGACGGAAAGAAAACUGGUCCAUCCCCUUCCCAGACCAGGACUGAAAGAAAACUGGUCCAUCCCCUUCCCAGACCAGGACGGAAAGAAAACUGGUCCAUCCCCUUCCCAGACCAGGACGGAAAGAAAACUGGUCCAUCCCCUUCCCAGACCAGGACUGAAAGAAAACUGGUCCAUCCCCUUCCCAGACCAGGACGGAAAGAAAACUGGUCCAUCCCCUUCCCAGACCAGGACGGAAAGAAAACUGGUCCAUCCCC
This is a long non-coding RNA of Oncorhynchus tshawytscha (Chinook salmon), 3511 nucleotides long. The record is from Ensembl. NCBI's taxonomy places the organism in Eukaryota, Metazoa, Chordata, Actinopteri, Salmoniformes, Salmonidae.